GACGAACGCUGGCGGCGUGCUUAACACAUGCAAGUCGAACGGUGAAGGGACCGGUUUUUGCUGGUUCUGGAUGAGUGGCGAACGGGUGAGUAACACGUGAGUAACCUGCCCCCUUCUUCUGGAUAACCGCAUGAAAGUGUGGCUAAUACGGGAUAUUCUGCGCCUGCUGCAUGGUGGGUGUGGGAAAGAUAUUGUUUCGGUGGGGGAUGGGCUCGCGGCCUAUCAGCUUGUUGGUGGGGUGAUGGCCUACCAAGGCGGUGACGGGUAGCCGGCCUGAGAGGGUGGACGGUCACACUGGGACUGAGACACGGCCCAGACUCCUACGGGAGGCAGCAGUGGGGAAGAUUGCACAAUGGGCGCAAGCCUGAUGCAGCGACGCCGCGUGAGGGAUGGAGGCCUUCGGGUUGUAAACCUCUUUCGCCAGUGAAGCAGGCCUGUCCCUUUUGUGGGUGGGUUGACGGUAGCUGGAUAAGAAGCGCCGGCUAACUACGU
Molecule: ribosomal RNA, 492 nt
Filed under: uncultured bacterium
Lineage: Bacteria
Description: partial 16S ribosomal RNA
Rfam family: Bacterial small subunit ribosomal RNA
Source: RNAcentral